Long non-coding RNA from Oxyura jamaicensis (ruddy duck), 1352 nucleotides. RefSeq lists it as uncharacterized. Lineage: Eukaryota; Metazoa; Chordata; Aves; Anseriformes; Anatidae. The record is from RefSeq and is a predicted model, not a curated record. The transcript has 2 exons.
ACACCAUACCAGUCACUGUCAUCUCCUCUCCCACUAACACGGAUCCAUCCCCACUGAAGGGUGACAGUCCAGCCACUCCACCUCCUUCCUUCCCAAACCAAGGGAGGAGCAGGCCCAGCUCUGCGCAGAGAUCACAGCACAGAGCCCACCACCUCCUAGAUCAGCCUGUGCUGUACCUCGGACAACUGACACUGCAAUCCCAGAUGCAGCCAGGCCAGCUCUAACACUCCCAGCCGUGUGGCUGGCCAGCACCUUUUUUGAGAUCCAGUCCAGUUCCAGCCUGGUCUAGUUCCUUUGCAUGUGGCCCCACAAGCAAAGACAUGACCUACGAUGUCUUUAUGCAAUUAAAAUGUAUGUCACACCAACUGCCUGGACACCAGAGGGAGAGCACGAAUGGUCCCAUGAACAGUGACAUGGGGAAAAAAAAUCCAAGGUACUAAUCCACAAUUAUUGUUGCUUUGGGGAUCAGCUCUGUCCUGAGCUCGAUAGCAGUCUCACACCUUCUGUUCAGGAAAGGCAGGCAAGAGUUAUUAACAUGCAGGACGGGGCAGGAGGCUUGAUGUGAAGGGGAGAACAACACAGACUGCAACAAGGAGCUCAGCCAGUCAGCUGCAUAGCCUCAUGGCAAGGCGCACAGCAGCGCCGGGGGCAGGGGCAUGAGUAAAAAGGCUCAGAUCUUUGCAUCUUACUAUUUCAAAGUCCCCCAAGUCAGCUCUGAUCAUAUUUAUCAGCAAGUUAAUUUAAUGGCAGAGUGCAGGAGAGUGGAGAAGGGGUGUCCACCCAAUUAAUUCAGGGUGCUGAGCUUUGAGAACGACCACCUCCUUCACCAGUUGCCACCAUCUGCAAGUGAUGGUGUGUCUGCUUCCUCCUGUGCUGGAAACCCUCACAAACAUACACCUGGCCAGAGGUACUUCAGUGUGUGUCACCUGGCUCCUCCUCUGCCAGUAAACUGAAUACAGUACCCCGUGCCUUCUCUGGAAGAGGGGCUUAAAAAUCAAGGUAAGUAAUGCAAUGUAAUGAGAGCUUUGGUUAGUAAGCUGCCAGCCCACCACUGUUACCCACAUCAUUGCACUCCCCAUCCUCUCCACCAGAAGUACUCCUUCUGCUCACUUUGCAGCUGCUCUCACUGGUACGCUCUCUGCCCACGCUGUCAUCUUUUCAUGAGAAAUAACCCAAGGAUACUCAGCCCAGCUCUGCCAAUGCUCUUACUUUCUGCUGACUAAAAAUCUCCAGAUUCCACACAAUACUUUAAAAGUUGCAGCUGUUUUUACUGCUCUUAAAUCAAAACCAAAGUUUGGCUCCCCUGCUGAAGAGCAAUAAUUUGCUAAUAAACCACAUGCCCUAGAACUGCA